Molecule: transfer RNA, 72 nt
Filed under: Camelus bactrianus (Bactrian camel)
Lineage: Eukaryota; Metazoa; Chordata; Mammalia; Artiodactyla; Camelidae
Also listed under: 2 other names
Rfam family: tRNA
About the family: Transfer RNA (tRNA) molecules are approximately 80 nucleotides in length. Their secondary structure includes four short double-helical elements and three loops (D, anti-codon, and T loops).
Source: Rfam by way of RNAcentral
GAGAGUAUAGCUCAGUGGUAGAGCGCAUGCUUAGCAUGCACAAGAUCCUGGGUUCAAUCUCCAGUACCUCCA